UAGGGAAUCAUCCGCAAUGGACGGAAGUCUGACGGUGCAACGCCGCGUGAGUGAGGGAGGUCUUCGGAUCGUAAAACUCUGUUGUCAGGGAAGAACACACCGUGUUCGAACAGAUCACGGUCUUGACGGUACCUGACCAGAAAGCCCCGGCUAACUACGUGCCAGCAGCCGCGGUAAUACGUAGGGGGCAAGCGUUGUCCGGAAUUAUUGGGCGUAAAGGGCACGCAGGCGGUCCUUUAAGUCUGAUGUGAAAUCUUGCGGCUUAACCGCAAGCUGUCAUUGGAAACUGAAGGACUUGAGUGCAGAAGAGGAGAGUGGAAUUCCACGUGUAGCGGUGAAAUGCGUAGAGAUGUGGAGGAACACCAGUGGCGAAGGCGACUCUCUGGUCUGCAACUGACGCUGAGGUGCGAAAGCGUGGGUAGCGAACAGG
RNAcentral lists this ribosomal RNA (430 nucleotides) under uncultured Lentibacillus sp. RNAcentral's name for it is "bacterial SSU rRNA". It matches the Rfam family "Bacterial small subunit ribosomal RNA", at positions 355 to 776 of the family's 1533-position model. Lineage: Bacteria; Bacillati; Bacillota; Bacilli; Caryophanales; Bacillaceae. The record is from RNAcentral.